Molecule: ribosomal RNA, 771 nt
Filed under: Staphylococcus haemolyticus
Lineage: Bacteria; Bacillati; Bacillota; Bacilli; Caryophanales; Staphylococcaceae
Description: bacterial SSU rRNA
Rfam family: Bacterial small subunit ribosomal RNA
Source: RNAcentral
CCCUAUAAAUGGCAGUCGAGCGACAGACAAGGAGCUUGCUCCUUUGACGUUAGCGGCGGACGGGUGAGUAACACGUGGGUAACCUACCUAUAAGACUGGGAUAACUUCGGGAAACCGGAGCUAAUACCGGAUAAUAUUUCGAACCGCAUGGUUCGAUAGUGAAAGAUGGUUUUGCUAUCACUUAUAGAUGGACCCGCGCCGUAUUAGCUAGUUGGUAAGGUAACGGCUUACCAAGGCGACGAUACGUAGCCGACCUGAGAGGGUGAUCGGCCACACUGGAACUGAGACACGGUCCAGACUCCUACGGGAGGCAGCAGUAGGGAAUCUUCCGCAAUGGGCGAAAGCCUGACGGAGCAACGCCGCGUGAGUGAUGAAGGUCUUCGGAUCGUAAAACUCUGUUAUUAGGGAAGAACAUACGUGUAAGUAACUAUGCACGUCUUGACGGUACCUAAUCAGAAAGCCACGGCUAACUACGUGCCAGCAGCCGCGGUAAUACGUAGGUGGCAAGCGUUAUCCGGAAUUAUUGGGCGUAAAGCGCGCGUAGGCGGUUUUUUAAGUCUGAUGUGAAAGCCCACGGCUCAACCGUGGAGGGUCAUUGGAAACUGGAAAACUUGAGUGCAGAAGAGGAAAGUGGAAUUCCAUGUGUAGCGGUGAAAUGCGCAGAGAUAUGGAGGAACACCAGUGGCGAAGGCGACUUUCUGGUCUGUAACUGACGCUGAUGUGCGAAAGCGUGGGGAUCAAACAGGAUUAGAUACCUUGGUAGUCCAAAAA